This 468-nucleotide long non-coding RNA is filed under the name Brachypodium distachyon (stiff brome). RNAcentral describes it as "long non-coding RNA (BDIS_LNC005091)". The record is from RNAcentral. Lineage: Eukaryota; Viridiplantae; Streptophyta; Magnoliopsida; Poales; Poaceae.
UCGAAGGUGUUCAUAAAAGUAGGGUGUCGUCUGUAUUGUGUUUUCUAAAAAAUAAAAAUCCUCGAGCAUAUAUUUUUUUUAACUUUUUUACUUAUACUUUCAGUUUUUUUCGGUUCAUGAAAUUCGUUCCAAGUCUUCGUCGGUUUGAUGCGUACCAGAGUUGUACAUCUUCCUUGAGAAAAUAGCCGAUAAGAACAAGUCCAGUUGCUGCAGCUAGCUUUACCGCCGCGUAAGAUGCAUAGGUUCGAAGAAAUCUUGAAUCACGAGGUUAACAUACGUAGACUACAUGCAUGGCUUGACUACAUGCAUGGCUUCUGCCUAUUCAGACAUGUGAGAAUGAGACUCGCAUAUAUCGUUACGUGAGAUGUGACAUAGAGACGCCUGCGCGUGGAACGUCUGACAAAUAGUUCUUGCUUUAAUCUCUAGUCUGUACGUUUGACGUACGUACACGACUCGUGCAGUUAAUUC